GUUGUUGUGGUGUAGUGGUUAUCACAUUAGUCUUACACAUUAAAGGCCCCUAGGUCAAUCUUGGGCAACAACA
Molecule: transfer RNA, 73 nt
Organism: Ipomoea nil (Japanese morning glory)
Lineage: Eukaryota; Viridiplantae; Streptophyta; Magnoliopsida; Solanales; Convolvulaceae
Rfam family: tRNA
About the family: Transfer RNA (tRNA) molecules are approximately 80 nucleotides in length. Their secondary structure includes four short double-helical elements and three loops (D, anti-codon, and T loops).
Source: Rfam